RNAcentral lists this signal recognition particle RNA (148 nucleotides) under Homo sapiens (human). Its description in RNAcentral is "Metazoan signal recognition particle RNA". It matches the Rfam family "Metazoan signal recognition particle RNA". Rfam says of the family: The signal recognition particle (SRP) is a universally conserved ribonucleoprotein. It is involved in the co-translational targeting of proteins to membranes. Lineage: Eukaryota; Metazoa; Chordata; Mammalia; Primates; Hominidae. The record is from Rfam by way of RNAcentral.
GCCAGGUGUGGUGGUGUGCGCCUGUAGUCCUAGCUACCUGGGAGGCUGAGGUGGGAGGAUUGCUUGAGCCCAGGAGUUUGAGGUUAUGGUGAGCUACGAUUGUGGCACUGUACUCCACCCUGGGCAACAGAGUGAGACCCUGUCUCAU